UACGGAGGGUGCGAGCGUUAUCCGGAAUUACUGGGUUUAAAGGGUGCGUAGGCGGCUAUGUAAGUCAGGAGUGAAAGUUUGCGGCUCAACCGUAAAAUUGCUUUUGAUACUGCAUGGCUGGAAUUAGGAUGAGGUCAGCGGAAUGUGGCAUGUAGCGGUGAAAUGCAUAGAUAUGCCAUAGAACACCAAUUGCGAAGGCAGCUGGCUAGACCUGGAUUGACGCUGAGGUGCGAAAGCGUGGGGAGCAAACAGG
Molecule: ribosomal RNA, 253 nt
Filed under: uncultured bacterium
Lineage: Bacteria
Also listed under: 1 other name
Description: partial 16S ribosomal RNA
Rfam family: Bacterial small subunit ribosomal RNA
Source: RNAcentral